RNAcentral lists this unclassified non-coding RNA (390 nucleotides) under soil metagenome. Its description in RNAcentral is "partial contains 5.8S ribosomal RNA, internal transcribed spacer 2, and large subunit ribosomal RNA". The stretch from base 1 to 122 matches the Rfam family "5.8S ribosomal RNA", at positions 35 to 154 of the family's 154-position model. The record is from RNAcentral.
GAUGAAGAACGUAGCGAAAUGCGAUACUUGGUGUGAAUUGCAGAAUCCCGUGAACCAUCGAGUCUUUGAACGCAAGUUGCGCCCGAAGCCAUUAGGCCGAGGGCACGCCUGCCUGGGCGUCACACGUCGUUGCCCCCCAUCUACUCCUUCGGGAUUGCGGGGGGCGGAUGAUGGCCUCCCGUGCGCCUCGUCGCGCGGUUGGCAUAAAUGCCAAGUCCUCGGCGACGCACGCCACGACAAUCGGUGGUUGCGAAACCUCGGUUGCCCGUCGUGUGCGGUCGUCGCGCAUCGAGGGCUCGAAAAAAUUGCCGGGCUCCGGCUCGGCUUUCAACGCGACCCCAGGUCAGGCGGGGUUACCCGCUGAAUUUAAGCAUAUCAAUAAGCGGAGGU